AAAAAGCAUGCUGAUAGUUUAGAAAGGCGAUCAUGCUUUACAAGUCUCCAUGAAACUGGAAAUUGACCUCUGAAGUGCGACCGCAGUUCAACAAAAUUUUAGCCAUUGUGACUGCUUUUUCAAUUAGGCAAUCGCACUUGGCAAGCAUGCCUGCGAUUCUCCUUGAAUUUUGCAAAAAUCUAGCCGUUAUAGUAUUUUUAAAAAGAGCUUUAAUGCAAAUCUAGCCAUUAUUUUACCUCCACUAAGGCUAUAUAAGGCUCAUUUGAUGGACAUUCAUCAAUUUUCAAAAGCUUUAUAUCUUCUAAACUUUCAAAUACUUUUUUUUACUUUCAUCUUCUAUAAUCUUCUUCAACUUCUUCCAUCUCUAACCAUGAGGUCAAAGAAAUCCAUUAGGAGAUCCUUAUUCUUCUCAAAAUAUUUAAGAAAGAAUGAAGGGCAUUGAUGAUGAGACAAAAAUAAAUUUUAUAACAAUAGAGAGGAAAGAUGUUCAAGCCGGUCGCUAUUUUGAUGAAGAAUCUCUUACUAAGCUAUGUGUGUCUCAAUAUACCUUAUAAGAUAAUUUAGGUUUAAUGGACUUCUUUCUACCCCAAUCUUUAGACAUAGGGUGUGAGAAUCUCAGCAAAGAAUUUUUCUCCUUUUUGGUGAUCAAUAAAAAGAGUGAUAGAGAUGAGUAUCAUGGGAUAGAAUUUUGGUUGUUUGGAGAGAAAAAGAACCUUUUUAGAACUCAAUUCUCCUUCAUUUUUGGAUUUCAAGAGAGAAGCCUUAUGAGAAUAAUAGAAAAUUUUGUUGCGAUGCCUUUCUCCCUUUCUCAAUUUUAGAGACAAAUAUCCACCAAAGACACCCACAUCAAAGACUCUCUUUCUAAAGACCUCAAGUUACUUUCUCAUUGGGUAGUGCAUAGGAUGAUUGCCUCUAAUAUCCAUGCAAGGGAUAAUGGGAUGGAGAAAGUACCUUAAAAGGAUCUUUUCUUUCUUUAUGCCAUGAUUCAUGGUAAGAGAAUCCUAACCUCAAAAUUCUUUCUUGACCACCUCUUUCACCUUGGGAACACCUAAAAAGGUGUUCUUCUUGUGUCUAUUUACAUCACAAAAAUAGCAAACCACCUUCAACUCCUUACCCCUCUUAACAAAACCUAUCUCAUUCCUCCAAUAGCUCCCAUCUCUUUAGGCCUACCAUUCUUUGAGCAUACAAAGGUGAUUAGACUUGGGCCUAAGUGGGAAAUGGAUGGUGAGUUCUUCUUGCUUAUUGGAAAAUUUAUGGAUGAUAAAAAGAAGAUGAAAAAGGAUCAUAGAAUCCUAAGUGAAUCUACCCCUUCUACAUUUGAAGGCCAAAGCUCUUUCUCUUUCGAAGACAAGGUUCUUAAGCAAAUGGAGAGGACUUGAAACUAUCUCCAUCAUUUGCAUGCAAACUUAGUGGAAAUUCAAAAGAUCUAUAAGAUUCCUCAUUGCCAUGUUGAGGAUGGGAAAGAAGAGGAAGAAGAGGGACUAGUUCCCCCCACUCAUGUUAAUUCAAGUAGUAGAGGCAAAGGAAAGGAGCCUGUGGUUCAAAAGAAAGACAAGGAAAAAGAGGAUGAAGAAGAAGAUUGACCAUCUUUCUUAUUUUUUUCUUUUUACAUAUUUUUUUUCCUUUUCAUGCAUUCAUUUCUCCUUGAUCACACAUUUUCUUUGCAUUCUUUUCCUUAUCUUAUUAAUGCAACUCUCAUUUCUUUAUUGUUCUAUUGUGUUAUGUCUUUUAUAUUCUCUUAUUGUCUAUCUUUUUGCUUUUGCCAAGGGAAAGAGAAUGAGAUAAUUAAUUAUUUAGAAAAUAAAAUAAGGACAAUAAUUAAAGGGGAGAAAUAAAGAUAAAAAAAAGAAAUAUCAUAAUAAGGGGAGCGAUUUAGUCUAAGUAAUUAUGUCUUUUCUUGCUAUCUUGCUAUAUAACUCAAAGAAAUAUAAUUCUAUCUUUUGAAUCCUAUUCAUUACUUACCUAAUUACACUUAUAAACAUUCAAUUUUAUCUUUUUUAUUAAUUUGGUUGUCAUAAUUAUAAAAGGGAAAUUGUUGACCUAAGGGUCAAUUGAUCUCUAUUUUGAUUUUAACAUUCAAAUUGAGUGUCGCUAAUAUCAUAUUUGAGUGUCUAUUUGAUAGUGCAUUAAGGGUUCAAUCAUAAGGCAAGGUUCCUCAAGCUCUUAAGUAAAGAUUGCAAAAUAUCCUAAAAAGCGCAAGGGUACCUUGAAAGCGCAAUGGUGCUUUUUAUAUGGUCAAAAUUGAGUAACUAUGAAAGAGGACCUUCUGGCAAUACCCUAAGGAUGGAGAGACACAUGGCAGUCAAGUGUCAACACCUCUAGAAGCACGGGGCAGGGUAAUUGGGGUCAAAAGCUCCAAUAUAGUAGGCAAUUAUGCGACGAGAAGCAGAAGGGUCUUUUGAGCAUGCCCAAGACAAGUGCGAGCGCGACAUUCUCGCGCGAGGGCUGUUUUCGCAUUUAAUACGAUGUCAGUGACCAUUGCAAAUUUAGCCAACAAGUCAGAGCUACAUGUCUGGAGCGGUUGGAGUCUCAACAACUCUUUUCA
Molecule: long non-coding RNA, 2545 nt
Filed under: Ricinus communis (castor bean)
Lineage: Eukaryota; Viridiplantae; Streptophyta; Magnoliopsida; Malpighiales; Euphorbiaceae
Description: long non-coding RNA (RCOM_LNC001268)
Source: RNAcentral